This is a long non-coding RNA of Homo sapiens (human), 938 nucleotides long. Ensembl annotates it as Pvt1 oncogene. Its record names the gene PVT1. The record is from Ensembl. Lineage: Eukaryota; Metazoa; Chordata; Mammalia; Primates; Hominidae.
GUGGCCUGGUCUCCAUUAUUUGAGAUGAGUUACAUCUUGGAGGACCAUAGCUGUCUGCAGUGCAGGAAGCCAACUAUUAAGGGGAAACAAAAGUGUUCUUAGGAGUCCUGCUGUCACUGUGGAUUGAGCCGGUGAAGCCCUGAGGGAUUUCAUCGCUGAGGUGGAUGGAGAAGCAGCUGGGGGCCUUGGCUGUAAGGACCCCUAAGGGCUGUUGGCUCACUGCAACCUCCACUGACUUCCUGGACUCAAGGAAUCCUCUUACCUCAGCCUCCUGAGUAGCUGGGACUACAGGCCUGAUCUUUUGGCCAGAAGGAGAUUAAAAAGAUGCCCCUCAAGAUGGCUGUGCCUGUCAGCUGCAUGGAGCUUCGUUCAAGUAUUUUCUGAGCCUGAUGGAUUUACAGUGAUCUUCAGUGGUCUGGGGAAUAACGCUGGUGGAACCAUGCACUGGAAUGACACACGCCCGGCACAUUUCAGGAUACUAAAAGUGGUUUUAAGGGAGGCUGUGGCUGAAUGCCUCAUGGAUUCUUACAGCUUGGAUGUCCAUGGGGGACGAAGGACUGCAGCUGGCUGAGAGGGUUGAGAUCUCUGUUUACUUAGAUCUCUGCCAACUUCCUUUGGGUCUCCCUAUGGAAUGUAAGACCCCGACUCUUCCUGGUGAAGCAUCUGAUGCACGUUCCAUCCGGCGCUCAGCUGGGCUUGAGGACUUCGCAGGUGAGCAGUAACGGAAAUCAGCCCCGUUUAUUCCUCCCAGCACCUGCCUUAUCCAACUCCCCACGCUGUGGCUGAGUCCCAGCCUGCUAUGGAAGCAUCACUGGACUCCCAUUGAACUCUGUGCAGAUUCGCUGUUCGUAGACAUGGUACCUGAUGGACACCAAGCUACGUACAGCUUCAAGGCCCCUUCUUUCUUUGCUAAUAAAAAAUAAAAAAUAAAAACAUAA